CCUACGGGGGGCAGCAGUGAGGAAUAUUGGUCAAUGGACGAGAGUCUGAACCAGCCAAGUAGCGUGAAGGAUGACUGCCCUAUGGGUUGUAAACUUCUUUUAUAUGGGAAUCAAACGUUCCACGUGUGGGAUUUUGUAUGUACCAUAUGAAUAAGGAUCGGCUAACUCCGGGCCAGCAGCCGCGGUAAUACGGAGGAUCCGAGCGUUAUGCGGAUUUAUUGGGUUUAAAGGGAGCGUAGGUGGAUUGUUAAGUCAGUUGUGAAAGUUUGCGGCUCAACCGUAAAAUUGCAGUUGAAACUGGCAGUCUUGAGUGCAGUAGAGGUGGGCGGAAUUCGUGGUGUAGCGGUGAAAUGCGUAGAUAUCACGAAGAACUCCGAUUGCGAAGGCAGUUCACUGGACUGCAACUGACACUGAGGCUCGAAAGUGUGGGUAUCAAACAGGAUUAGAUACCCGGGUAGUC
Molecule: ribosomal RNA, 460 nt
Filed under: uncultured bacterium
Lineage: Bacteria
Description: partial 16S ribosomal RNA
Rfam family: Bacterial small subunit ribosomal RNA
Source: RNAcentral